This 1783-nucleotide ribosomal RNA is filed under the name human gut metagenome. RNAcentral describes it as "bacterial LSU rRNA". It matches the Rfam family "Bacterial large subunit ribosomal RNA", at positions 1104 to 2925 of the family's 2925-position model. The record is from RNAcentral.
GCUUGGAAGCAGCCAUUCAUUUAAAGAGUGCGUAACAGCUCACUAGUCGAGGAGUUCUGCGUGGAUAAUAAUCGGGCAUAAGCCGUUUACCGAAGCUGUGGAAUUGGCAACAAUUGGUAGGGGAGCAUUCCAUGAGCCGCAGAAGGUGUUCCUUGAGGAAUGCUGGAGGUAAUGGAAAAGCAAAUGUAGGUAUAAGUAACGAUAAAGAGGGCGAGAACCCCUCUCGCCGAAAGACCAAGGGUUCCUGAUCAACGCUAAUCGGAUCAGGGUAAGUCGGGCCCUAAGGCGCAGCCGAACGGCGCAGCCGAUGGCAGAAACGGUUAAUAUUCCGUUACUAUGAUACGGAGUGACGAGGAGACGGAGAAGUGACACUCUCGCCUGCUGACGGAAUAGCAGGUUGAACGGAGUAGAUAAUGACAUGGCAGGCAAAUCCGCCGUGGCAGUCGAACCGGAUAGUACUGGGCGCCCCCGGGCAACCAGAUAGUAGAGGUAAUCAGGCUCCCGAGAAAAUCCCCUAAACAUAUGCGUAUCAUACCCGUACCCGAAACGGACACACGUGGUUGAGUAGAAAAUACUAAGGCGCUCGAGCGACUCACGGUUAAGGAACUAGGCAAAUUGACCCUGUAACUUCGGGACAAAGGGUCCCUCCCUGGUGGGAGGGCGCAGAGAAUAGGUCCAGGCAACUGUUUAACAAAAACACAGGGCUGUGCGAAAUUGAAAGAUGAAGUAUACAGCCUGACACCUGCCCGGUGCUGGAAGGUUAAGAGGAGAUGUCAUCGCAAGAGAAGCGUUGAAUUGAAGCCCCAGUAAACGGCGGCCGUAACUAUAACGGUCCUAAGGUAGCGAAAUUCCUUGUCGGGUAAGUUCCGACCUGCACGAAUGGUGUAAUGAUCUGGACACUGUCUCAACCGUGAACUCGGUGAAAUUGUAGUAUCGGUGAAGAUGCCGAUUACCCGCAACGGGACGGAAAGACCCCGUGAACCUUUACUGCAACUUAACAUUGAAUUUGGGUAACUGAUGUGUAGGAUAGUCCGGAGACAGAGAAGUGGAUACGCCAGUAUUCAUGGAGUCGUCCUUGAAAUACGGACCUUUGGUUAUUUGAGUUCUAACCCGUAUGAUAUGGGGACACUGUUUGGUGGGUAGUUUGACUGGGGUGGUCGCCUCCAAAAGCGUAACGGAGGCUUCUAAAGGUGCCCUCAGACCGAUUGGUAACCGGUCGCAGAGUGUAAUGGCAUAAGGGCGCUUGACUGGGAGACAUACAAGUCGAUCAGGUAGGAAACUAGAGCAUAGUGAUCCGGUGGUUCCGCAUGGAAGGGCCAUCGCUCAAAGGAUAAAAGGUACUCCGGGGAUAACAGGCUGAUCGCUCCCAAGAGCUCAUAUCGACGGAGCGGUUUGGCACCUCGAUGUCGGCUCGUCACAUCCUGGGGCUGGAGAAGGUCCCAAGGGUUGGGCUGUUCGCCCAUUAAAGUGGCACGCGAGCUGGGUUCAGAACGUCGUGAGACAGUUCGGUCCCUAUCUGUUGUGGGCGCAGGAAAUUUGAGGAGAACUGACACUAGUACGAGAGGACCGUGUUGGACAGACCGCUGGUUUAUCAGUUGUUCCGCCAGGGGCAUAGCUGAGUAUCUAAGUCUGGAAAGGAUAAGUGCUGAAAGCAUCUAAGUACGAAGCCAACUUCAAGAUUAGAUUUCCCUGAAGGGUCGUUGCAGACGACGACGUAGAUAGGUUGCAGAUGUAAAGGCGGUAACGUCAAAGUCGAGCAAUACUAAUCACCCGAGACUUUCCG